RNAcentral lists this transfer RNA (72 nucleotides) under Camelus bactrianus (Bactrian camel). It matches the Rfam family "tRNA". From Rfam's summary of the family: Transfer RNA (tRNA) molecules are approximately 80 nucleotides in length. The record is from Rfam by way of RNAcentral. RNAcentral also lists the same sequence under 2 other names. Lineage: Eukaryota; Metazoa; Chordata; Mammalia; Artiodactyla; Camelidae.
GAGGGUAUAGUUCAGUGGCAGAGCACAUGCCUAGCAUGCCCAAGGUCCUGGGUUCAAUCCCCAGUACCUCCA